GAUCAUGGCUCAGGAUGAACGCUAGCUACAGGCUUAACACAUGCAAGUCGAGGGGCAGCAUGAUCUUAGCUUGCUAAGAUGAUGGCGACCGGCGCACGGGUGAGUAACGCGUAUCCAACCUUCCCUGUACUAGGGGAUAGCCCGGCGAAAGUCGGAUUAAUACCCUAUGUUUUCCGAAGCGAGCAUUUAAUUUGGAACAAAGGUUUACCGGUAUAGGAUGGGGAUGCGUCUGAUUAGAUAGUAGGCGGGGCAACGGCCCACCUAGUCGACGAUCAGUAGGGGUUCUGAGAGGAAGGUCCCCCACAUUGGAACUGAGACACGGUCCAAACUCCUACGGGAGGCAGCAGUGAGGAAUAUUGGUCAAUGGACGAGAGUCUGAACCAGCCAAGUAGCGUGCAGGAUGACGGCCCAAUGGGUUGUAAACUGCUUUUAUAUAGGGAUAAAGUGAGGGACGUGUCCCUUAUUGUAGGUACUAUAUGAAUAAGGACCGGCUAAUUCCGUGCCAGCCGCCGC
Molecule: ribosomal RNA, 513 nt
Filed under: uncultured bacterium
Lineage: Bacteria
Description: bacterial SSU rRNA
Rfam family: Bacterial small subunit ribosomal RNA
Source: RNAcentral